GCCAGGCAUGGUGGCGCAUGCCUGUAAUCCCAGCUACUUGGGAGGCUGAGGCAUGAGAAUUGCUUGAACCCAGGAGGCAGAGGUUGCAGUGAGCAGAGAUUGCACCACUGCACUCCAGCCUGGGCGACAGAGUGAGACUCUGUCUCAA
Molecule: unclassified non-coding RNA, 148 nt
Organism: Pongo abelii (Sumatran orangutan)
Lineage: Eukaryota; Metazoa; Chordata; Mammalia; Primates; Hominidae
Rfam family: Metazoan signal recognition particle RNA
About the family: The signal recognition particle (SRP) is a universally conserved ribonucleoprotein. It is involved in the co-translational targeting of proteins to membranes. The eukaryotic SRP consists of a 300-nucleotide 7S RNA and six proteins: SRPs 72, 68, 54, 19, 14, and 9.
Source: Ensembl